Molecule: ribosomal RNA, 249 nt
Filed under: uncultured bacterium
Lineage: Bacteria
Description: partial 16S ribosomal RNA
Rfam family: Bacterial small subunit ribosomal RNA
Source: RNAcentral
GCAAGUCGAGGGGUAACAUUGUGCUUGCACAGAUGACGACCGGCGCACGGGUGCGUAACGCGUAUAGAACCUACCUUUUACAGGGGGAUAGCCUUUAGAAAUGAAGAUUAAUACCCCAUAGUAUUGCGAGAUGGCAUCAUUUUGUAAUUAAAGAUUUAUCGGUAAAAGAUGGCUAUGCGUCCUAUUAGCUAGAUGGUAAGGUAACGGCUUACCAUGGCAACGAUAGAUAGGGGCCCUGAGAGGGGGAUC